GCUUAGGGCUGCAACUGAUCAUUUCAAUUCAAAGAACAUUCUGGGGAGAGGUGGAUUUGGGAUAGUUUACAAGGGAUGUUUGAAUGAUGGAACACUGUUGGCUGUCAAAAGGCUGAAGGACUAUAAUGUGGCUGGGGGGUCCAAUUCCAGACGGAAGUAGAAACAAUAAGCUUAGCUGUCCACCGAAAUCUGCUCAGGCUCUCUGGGUUCUGCACUACUGAGAAUGAAAGGCUUCUUGUUUACCC
RNAcentral lists this unclassified non-coding RNA (245 nucleotides) under Hevea brasiliensis (rubber tree). The record is from RNAcentral. Lineage: Eukaryota; Viridiplantae; Streptophyta; Magnoliopsida; Malpighiales; Euphorbiaceae.